GGUUAAGCGACUAAGCGUACACGGUGGAUGCCCUGGCAGUCAGAGGCGAUGAAGGACGUGCUAAUCUGCGAUAAGCGUCGGUAAGGUGAUAUGAACCGUUAUAACCGGCGAUUUCCGAAUGGGGAAACCCAGUGUGUUUCGACACACUAUCAUUAACUGAAUCCAUAGGUUAAUGAGGCGAACCGGGGGAACUGAAACAUCUAAGUACCCCGAGGAAAAGAAAUCAACCGAGAUUCCCCCAGUAGCGGCGAGCGAACGGGGAGCAGCCCAGAGCCUGAAUCAGUGUGUGUGUUAGUGGAAGCGUCUGGAAAGGCGUGCGAUACAGGGUGACAGCCCCGUACACAAAAAUGCACAUGCUGUGAGCUCGAUGAGUAGGGCGGGACACGUGGUAUCCUGUCUGAAUAUGGGGGGACCAUCCUCCAAGGCUAAAUACUCCUGACUGACCGAUAGUGAACCAGUACCGUGAGGGAAAGGCGAAAAGAACCCCGGCGAGGGGAGUGAAAAAGAACCUGAAACCGUGUACGUACAAGCAGUGGGAGCACGCUUAGGCGUGUGACUGCGUACCUUUGUAUAAUGGGUCAGCGACUUAUAUUCUGUAGCAAGGUUAACCGAAUAGGGGAGCCGAAGGGAAACCGAGUCUUAACUGGGCGUUAAGUUGCAGGGUAUAGACCCGAAACCCGGUGAUCUAGCCAUGGGCAGGUUGAAGGUUGGGUAACACUAACUGGAGGACCGAACCGACUAAUGUUGAAAAAUUAGCGGAUGACUUGUGGCUGGGGGUGAAAGGCCAAUCAAACCGGGAGAUAGCUGGUUCUCCCCGAAAGCUAUUUAGGUAGCGCCUCGUGAAUUCAUCUCCGGGGGUAGAGCACUGUUUCGGCAAGGGGUCAUCCCGACUUACCAACCCGAUGCAAACUGCGAAUACCGGAGAAUGUUAUCACGGGAGACACACGGCGGGUGCUAACGUCCGUCGUGAAGAGGGAAACAACCCAGACCGCCAGCUAAGGUCCCAAAGUCAUGGUUAAGUGGGAAACGAUGUGGGAAGGCCCAGACAGCCAGGAUGUUGGCUUAGAAGCAGCCAUCAUUUAAAGAAAGCGUAAUAGCUCACUGGUCGAGUCGGCCUGCGCGGAAGAUGUAACGGGGCUAAACCAUGCACCGAAGCUGCGGCAGCGACACUAUGUGUUGUUGGGUAGGGGAGCGUUCUGUAAGCCUGUGAAGGUGUGCUGUGAGGCAUGCUGGAGGUAUCAGAAGUGCGAAUGCUGACAUAAGUAACGAUAAAGCGGGUGAAAAGCCCGCUCGCCGGAAGACCAAGGGUUCCUGUCCAACGUUAAUCGGGGCAGGGUGAGUCGACCCCUAAGGCGAGGCCGAAAGGCGUAGUCGAUGGGAAACAGGUUAAUAUUCCUGUACUUGGUGUUACUGCGAAGGGGGACGGAGAAGGCUAUGUUGGCCGGGCGACGGUUGUCCCGGUUUAAGCGUGUAGGCUGGUUUUCCAGGCAAAUCCGGAAAAAUCAAGGCUGAGGCGUGAUGACGAGGCACUACGGUGCUGAAGCAACAAAUGCCCUGCUUCCAGGAAAAGCCUCUAAGCAUCAGGUAACAUCAAAUCGUACCCCAAACCGACACAGGUGGUCAGGUAGAGAAUACCAAGGCGCUUGAGAGAACUCGGGUGAAGGAACUAGGCAAAAUGGUGCCGUAACUUCGGGAGAAGGCACGCUGAUAUGUAGGUGAAGUCCCUCGCGGAUGGAGCUGAAAUCAGUCGAAGAUACCAGCUGGCUGCAACUGUUUAUUAAAAACACAGCACUGUGCAAACACGAAAGUGGACGUAUACGGUGUGACGCCUGCCCGGUGCCGGAAGGUUAAUUGAUGGGGUUAGCCGCAAGGCGAAGCUCUUGAUCGAAGCCCCGGUAAACGGCGGUACGUAACUAUAACGGUCCUAAGGUAGCGAAAUUCCUUGUCGGGUAAGUUCCGACCUGCACGAAUGGCGUAAUGAUGGCCAGGCUGUCUCCACCCGAGACUCAGUGAAAUUGAACUCGCUGUGAAGAUGCAGUGUACCCGCGGCAAGACGGAAAGACCCCGUGAACCUUUACUAUAGCUUGACACUGAACAUUGAGCCUUGAUGUGUAGGAUAGGUGGGAGGCUUUGAAGUGUGGACGCCAGUCUGCAUGGAGCCGACCUUGAAAUACCACCCUUUAAUGUUUGAUGUUCUAACGUUGACCCGUAAUCCGGGUUGCGGACAGUGUCUGGUGGGUAGUUUGACUGGGGCGGUCUCCUCCUAAAGAGUAACGGAGGAGCACGAAGGUUGGCUAAUCCUGGUCGGACAUCAGGAGGUUAGUGCAAUGGCAUAAGCCAGCUUGACUGCGAGCGUGACGGCGCGAGCAGGUGCGAAAGCAGGUCAUAGUGAUCCGGUGGUUCUGAAUGGAAGGGCCAUCGCUCAACGGAUAAAAGGUACUCCGGGGAUAACAGGCUGAUACCGCCCAAGAGUUCAUAUCGACGGCGGUGUUUGGCACCUCGAUGUCGGCUCAUCACAUCCUGGGGCUGAAGUAGGUCCCAAGGGUAUGGCUGUUCGCCAUUUAAAGUGGUACGCGAGCUGGGUUUAGAACGUCGUGAGACAGUUCGGUCCCUAUCUGCCGUGGGCGCUGGAGAACUGAGGGGGCUGCUCCUAGUACGAGAGGACCGGAGUGGACGCAUCACUGGUGUUCGGGUUGUCAUGCCAAUGGCACUGCCCGGUAGCUAAAUGCGGAAGAGAUAAGUGCUGAAAGCAUCUAAGCACGAAACUUGCCCCGAGAUGAGUUCUCCCUGACUCCUUGAGAGUCCUGAAGGAACGUUGAAGACGACGACGUUGAUAGGCCGGGUGUGUAAGCGCAGCGAUGCGUUGAAGCUAACCGGUACUAAUGAACCGUGAGGCUUAACCUU
Molecule: ribosomal RNA, 2904 nt
Filed under: Escherichia coli
Lineage: Bacteria; Pseudomonadati; Pseudomonadota; Gammaproteobacteria; Enterobacterales; Enterobacteriaceae
Description: 23S ribosomal RNA
Rfam family: Bacterial large subunit ribosomal RNA
Source: RNAcentral